This 301-nucleotide ribosomal RNA is filed under the name uncultured bacterium. RNAcentral's name for it is "partial 16S ribosomal RNA". It matches the Rfam family "Bacterial small subunit ribosomal RNA", at positions 509 to 808 of the family's 1533-position model. The record is from RNAcentral.
CAGCAGCCACGGUAAUACGAAGGGUGCAAGCGUUAAUCGGAAUUACUGGGCGUAAAGCGUGCGUAGGCGGUGAGUUAAGUCUGCUGUGAAAUCCCCGGGCUCAACCUGGGAAUGGCGGUGGAUACUGGCUCGCUAGAGUGUGUCAGAGGAUGGUGGAAUUCCCGGUGUAGCGGUGAAAUGCGUAGAGAUCGGGAGGAACAUCAGUGGCGAAGGCGGCCAUCUGGGACAACACUGACGCUGAGCACGAAAGCGUGGGGAGCAAACAGGAUUAGAUACCCCCGUAGUCCCUGUCUCUUAUACA